CUGGUCACCCCAAAGAGGUCCCGUCCUCGUCCCGGGGGGACCAGUCAUCCCGAGGUGGGACCAGUGCCCUGGCCGGGGUGGCUGCAGAGGGAAAGUGGGCAGGCUGAUCAGGAACUGGAAGUUGGGUGCAUCUGGGAGGGAGGAGGGAGUAGAAGCCACUGUCCCCAAUGGAGAAAGGAAUAAGUCUCUGCGCUGUGUCCCCAAGUGUAGUUACCGAGUUCGAGAAAUGAUCACCUGCUCUCUCAACCUUAAUCGCAAACCUCUGUAGAGGAGCAGGCCCCAACAGCAGGUGCAGAGCAGAUGGAGCCUGUACCCAUGUAGGUUCCAAGAAGCAUCCAUACUCUCUGUCCCCGAAAAGGCAAGUUGAAUUUUUCCAUUUCUUAUAACUUGACCUCAAAUAUAGGCCAGUAUGAUAUACACAUAAGUAAAAUGCUCUUGGUAUUUUGAUAAGUAUGUUUAAUUUUUAAAAAACAGACUUUGGCAAGUUAAGCCACUUACUCAUACACAAAAUUAGAGAUGAAGCCAGGAUUAUGUUAUUUAGCCAUUUAAAGCCACGUUAAAUACUGACACCACAAAUAUUCAAAUUUCCUUCUAUAAUCCACUGUAGGUUCACAAGAUUAGGAGUAGUAAUUUUAAUCACUCAUUGUAAUUUAAUUUAUAGCAUUGCAUUCCAUAUUUACUUUUUUUUUUUUUUUUUUUUUUUUCCAUAUUUACUUUUGCUAUGUACUGUUUUUAUUUCUUUUAAAUGUGCUUGCUUUUAACAUUUUAGAUGCUUUGGUGCCAGUGUCUGGGGAUCUGAGAAUAAAUUUAUUUUCACCUUAAGACAGUAUAGAAGACUAAGGUUCUGGAGUCAGACUACCAAAUUUGUCUAGUCCUACCUCUGUGCCCUUGCAUAAAUUACUUAAACUUUUAAAACCCUGCUUUCUAUCAUCUGUACAAUGAGGAUAUUAAUAGUAUUUACCUUCCAGAUUAUUAUAAGGAUUAAAUCAUACAAUUUGUGUGCUUACGACAGAGCAAAUGCUCAAUAAAUGUUGGCUUUUGUAACUAUUACUUCCACAUCCUAUAAUUGUAUAAACUUUAUCCUUGAGAACAUGGAUCAGUUAUCUUACUUUUUGAAACCUUAAAAUUCAUUUUCAUAAGUAUAAAACAUAAAUUCAUUUAUGCUUACUUUCCCUGUUUAAGUAUGUGUUCGCAUUAAAAAAACUAACUCUCGUAUGUUUUGAGUAACAUUGUUAGUGGCUGGCAAGAUGUUUGGCUGACAAAUAUUUUAUAUAAUCUUCAAAUUCAGAGGUUGGUUGAAGUUAAAUUUUUUAAGUAUCAAGGUAAAAGCAAACAUCUGUAUUUAAAAUUUAAUAAAAAUUAUAAUA
Molecule: long non-coding RNA, 1367 nt
Filed under: Phocoena sinus (vaquita)
Lineage: Eukaryota; Metazoa; Chordata; Mammalia; Artiodactyla; Phocoenidae
Description: lncRNA (ENSPSNG00000003792.1)
Source: RNAcentral